RNAcentral lists this ribosomal RNA (447 nucleotides) under uncultured bacterium. Its description in RNAcentral is "bacterial SSU rRNA". It matches the Rfam family "Bacterial small subunit ribosomal RNA", at positions 329 to 792 of the family's 1533-position model. The record is from RNAcentral.
GUCCAGACUCCUAACGGGAGGCAGCAGUGGGGAAUAUUGCACAAUGGGGGAAACCCUGAUGCAGCGACGCCGCGUGAGCGAUGAAGUAUUUCGGUAUGUAAAGCUCUAUCAGCAGGGAAGAAGAUGACGGUACCUGACUAAGAAGCCCCGGCUAACUACGUGCCAGCAGCCGCGGUAAUACGUAGGGGGCAAGCGUUAUCCGGAUUUACUGGGUGUAAAGGGAGCGUAGACGGCGAUGCAAGCCAGAUGUGAAAGCCCGGGGCUCAACCCCGGGACUGCAUUUGGAACUGUGUGGCUGGAGUGUCGGAGAGGCAGGCGGAAUUCCUAGUGUAGCGGUGAAAUGCGUAGAUAUUAGGAGGAACACCAGUGGCGAAGGCGGCCUGCUGGACGAUGACUGACGUUGAGGCUCGAAAGCGUGGGGAGCAAACAGGAUUAGAUACCCCCGUA